Molecule: ribosomal RNA, 380 nt
Filed under: uncultured eukaryote
Lineage: Eukaryota
Description: partial 18S ribosomal RNA
Rfam family: Eukaryotic small subunit ribosomal RNA
Source: RNAcentral
CAAUAGCGUAUAUUAAAGUUGUUGCAGUUAAAAAGCUCGUAGUCGGAUUUCGGGUCGGGCCGAGCGGUCUGCCGAUGGGUAUGCACUGUUCGGCGCGGCCUUCUUUCCGGAGACCGCGGCUACUCUUAACUGAGCGGGCGUGGGAGACGGAUCGUUUACUUUGAAAAAAUCAGAGUGUUUCAAGCAGGCAGCUCGCUCUUGCAUGGAUUAGCAUGGGAUAAUGAAAUAGGACUCUGGUGCUAUUUUGUUGGUUUCGAACACCGGAGUAAUGAUUAACAGGGACAGUCAGGGGCACUCGUAUUCCGUCGAGAGAGGUGAAAUUCUCAGACCAAUGGAAGACGAACCACUGCGAAAGCAUUUGCCAGGGAUGUUUUCACUGA